AACUCUCGAAGGCGCUGAUGAGCUUCGGCUCGCGUCUUCACCUCCCUGUUGGACUUCGGCCGAGCCUUGUGCUCGGCCUUUUUU
This 84-nucleotide non-coding RNA is filed under the name Thalassobacter sp. 16PALIMAR09. RNAcentral describes it as "Singlet oxygen resistance RNA X". It matches the Rfam family "Singlet oxygen resistance RNA X". From Rfam's summary of the family: SorX (RSs2461)like SorY is a singlet oxygen induced sRNA that counteracts oxidative stress by targeting mRNA for a transporter in Rhodobacter. It also has an impact on resistance against organic hydroperoxides. Lineage: Bacteria; Pseudomonadati; Pseudomonadota; Alphaproteobacteria; Rhodobacterales; Roseobacteraceae. The record is from Rfam by way of RNAcentral.